RNAcentral lists this long non-coding RNA (322 nucleotides) under Homo sapiens (human). RNAcentral's name for it is "HSALNT0310953". Lineage: Eukaryota; Metazoa; Chordata; Mammalia; Primates; Hominidae. The record is from RNAcentral.
GGAGUGGCAGCAACUGGAGGAAGCAGAAUGUCCCCGAGCAAGAUUGUCAAGAGAAAAAAGUUACAUGUAUAAAAUCUACAGUAGAAUUGGAAGAUGGAUCUAAUGAGAAUAACACUAAGGAAACACCAUCCUUCAAAAACUAAAAGCUCCUUGAUGAGACAAGAAAAUGAAGUGUCCCAGAAGAGGAAAUGCAGUAAGUGUUGGGGAUAAAAAGAAGCAUCAGCCAUUUUCAUUUCACGUGGGAAGAACAAUAUGAGACAAACAACCUAAGAUUAAAUGAAACCAGUUGGAUUGGAGAGAUGCAUUUACAUUUUACCACCUG